AGCUAAAUAGUUUAAUUAAAAAUAUUAAUUUUGUAAAUUAAAAAUAUAAAUUAAUUUAUUUUAGCUA
Molecule: transfer RNA, 67 nt
Filed under: Apis nuluensis
Lineage: Eukaryota; Metazoa; Arthropoda; Insecta; Hymenoptera; Apidae
Description: tRNA-Thr
Source: RNAcentral